RNAcentral lists this long non-coding RNA (1372 nucleotides) under Salmo salar (Atlantic salmon). RNAcentral describes it as "lncRNA (ENSSSAG00000120644.1)". Lineage: Eukaryota; Metazoa; Chordata; Actinopteri; Salmoniformes; Salmonidae. The record is from RNAcentral.
UCUUUACAGUGAAAGCAGACACUUCUAUCCAGUCUUUACAGUGAGAGGAGACACUUCUUCUCCAGUCUUUACAGUGAGAACAGACACUUCUAUCCAGUCUUUACAGUGAGAGCAGACACUUCUUCUCCAGUCUUUACAGUGAGAGCAGACACUUCUUCUCCAGUCUUUACAGUGAGAGCAGACACUUCUAUCCAGUCUUUACAGUGAGAGGAUACACUUCUAUCCAGUCUUUACAGUGAGAGGAGACACUUCUAUCCAGUCUUUACAGUGAGAGGAGACACUUCUUCUCCAGUCUUUACAGUGAGAGGAGACACUUCUAUCCAGUCUUUACAGUGAGAGCAGACAUUUUUAGCAUGUGUAUAUGAUAUCUGCAGGAACUGAACCGACAACUUUGGUGUGUCUACUACCACGCUCUUGCCAACAGAGCCACACAGGACCAUAACCUUGUAAAAUAUAACAGAACUGAGUCCAAUGAGUCCAGCACUAAAAGCCAGUGUCAGUUUAUGCCAAGCUGAGCAUAAGUGCAGGACUCGGCUAUUGAUCACAGUGUCUAUGGAGAUGUACUACAGUAGCCUACUGGUGGGACAUUCAUUAGGGCACACUGUUGCAAAACGUUUUGCAUGGGAAAACAAGCGUUUCUUAUUGUCCCAGUUUCAGGUGGUCUAUCCCAGUUUCAGGUGAUCUAUUCCAGUUUCAGGUAGUCUAUCCCACUUUCAGGUAGUCUAUCCAGUUCAGGUGGUCUAUCCCCGUUUCAGGUAGUCUAUCCCAGUUUCAGGUGGUCUAUCCCAGUUUCAGGUGGUCUAUUCCAGUUUCAGGUGGUCUAUUCCAGUUCAGGUAGUCUAUCCCAGUUCAGGUGGUCUAUUCCAGUUUCAGGUAGUCUAUCCCAGUUUCAGGUGGUCUAUUCCAGUUUCAGGUGGUCUAUUCCAGUUCAGGUAGUCUAUCCCAGUUCAGGUGGUCUAUCCCAGUUCAGGUGGUCUAUCCCAGUUCAGGUAGUCUAUCCCAGUUCAGGUGGUCUAUCCCAGUUUCAGGUGGUCUAUCCCAGUUUCAGGUGGUCUAUCCCAGUUCAGGUGGUCUAUUCCAGUUCAGGUAGUAUAUCCCAGUUUCAAGUAGUCUAUCCCAGUUUCAGGUGGUCUAUCCCAGUUCAGGUAGUCUAUCCCAGUUCAGGUGGUAUAUCCCAGUUUCAGGUGGUCUAUCCCAGUUUCAGGUGGUCUAUCCCAGUUCAGGUGGUCUAUUCCAGUUCAGGUAGUCUAUCCCAGUUCAGGUAGUCUAUCCCAGUUCAGGUGGUCUAUCCCAGUUCAGGUGGUCUAUCCCAGUUCAGGUAGUCUAUCCCAGUUCAGGUGGUCUAUCCCAGUUUCAGGUGGUCUAUUCCAGU